This 467-nucleotide ribosomal RNA is filed under the name uncultured bacterium. RNAcentral describes it as "partial 16S ribosomal RNA". It matches the Rfam family "Bacterial small subunit ribosomal RNA", at positions 29 to 507 of the family's 1533-position model. The record is from RNAcentral.
ACGAACGCUGGCGGCGUGCUUAACACAUGCAAGUCGAACGGAAAGGCCCUGCUUUUGUGGGGUGCUCGAGUGGCGAACGGGUGAGUAACACGUGAGUAAUCUGCCCUUGACUUUGGGAUAACUUCAGGAAACUGGGGCUAAUACCGGAUAGGAGCUUCUGAUGCAUGGUGGGGGUUGGAAAGUUUCGGCGGUUGGAGUUGGACUCGAGGCUUAUCAGUUCGUUGGUGGGGUAGGGGCAUACCAAGGCUUUGACGGGGAGCCGGCCUGGGAGGGUGACCGGCCACAUGGGGACUGAGAUACGGCCCAGACGCCUACGGGAGGCAGCAGGGGGGAAUAUUGCACAGUGAGCGGAAGCCUGAUGCGGCAACGCCGCGUGCGGGAUGACGGCCUUCGGGUUGUAAACCGCUGUCGCCUGUGACGAAGCGUGAGUGACGGUAAUGGGUAAAGAAGCACCGGCUAACUACGUG